UACGUAGGGUGCGAGCGUUAAUCGGAAUUACUGGGCGUAAAGGGUGCGCAGGCGGCUCCGCAUGUCGGGCGUGAAAGCCCCGGGCUUAACCCGGGAAUGGCGUCCGAAACUAUGGAGCUGGAGUGUGGCAGAGGGAGGUGGAAUUCCACGUGUAGCGGUGGAAUGCGCAGAUAUCAGGAGGAACACCGAUGGCGAAGGCAGUUCUCUGGGCCGUAACUGACGCUGAGGAGCGAAAGCGUGGGGAGCGAACAGG
Molecule: ribosomal RNA, 253 nt
Filed under: uncultured bacterium
Lineage: Bacteria
Description: partial 16S ribosomal RNA
Rfam family: Bacterial small subunit ribosomal RNA
Source: RNAcentral